This 320-nucleotide unclassified non-coding RNA is filed under the name plant metagenome. Its description in RNAcentral is "partial contains 5.8S ribosomal RNA, internal transcribed spacer 2, and large subunit ribosomal RNA". The stretch from base 1 to 105 matches the Rfam family "5.8S ribosomal RNA", at positions 50 to 154 of the family's 154-position model. The record is from RNAcentral.
GAAAUGCGAUAAGUAAUGUGAAUUGCAGAAUUCAGUGAAUCAUCGAAUCUUUGAACGCACAUUGCGCCCGCCAGCAUUCUGGCGGGCAUGCCUGUUCGAGCGUCAUUACAACCCUCAGGCCCCCGGGCCUGGCGUUGGGGAUCGGCGGAAGCCCCCUGCGGGCACAACGCCGUCCCCCAAAUACAGUGGCGGUCCCGCCGCAGCUUCCAUUGCGUAGUAGCUAACACCUCGCAACUGGAGAGCGGCGCGGCCACGCCGUAAAACACCCAACUUCUGAAUGUUGACCUCGAAUCAGGUAGGAAUACCCGCUGAACUUAAGC